RNAcentral lists this ribosomal RNA (888 nucleotides) under uncultured bacterium. Its description in RNAcentral is "bacterial SSU rRNA". It matches the Rfam family "Bacterial small subunit ribosomal RNA", at positions 9 to 901 of the family's 1533-position model. The record is from RNAcentral.
GAGUUUGAUCAUGGCUCAGGAUGAACGCUAGCGGCAGGNCUAACACAUGCAAGUCGAGGGGCAGCACGUCUUCGGAUGGUGGCGACCGGCGCACGGGUGCGUAACGCGUAUGCAACCUACCUUUAACAGGAGGAUAGCCCCGAGAAAUCGGGAUUAAUACUCAUAAUAUUUUUUAGUGGCAUCACAUAAAAAUUAAAGCUUUUUGCGGUUAGAGAUGGGCAUGCGUGACAUUAGUUUGUUGGUAAGGUAACGGCUUACCAAGACUACGAUGUCUAGGGGUUCUGAGAGGAUUAACCCCCACACUGGUACUGAGACACGGACCAGACUCCUACGGGAGGCAGCAGUGAGGAAUAUUGGUCAAUGGACGCAAGUCUGAACCAGCCAUGCCGCGUGAAGGAUGAAGGCCUUAUGGGUUGUAAACUUCUUUUAUACGGGAAUAAACUUAGCUAUGUAUAGCUAACUGCAGGUACCGUACGAAUAAGCACCGGCUAACUCCGUGCCAGCAGCCGCGGUAAUACGGAGGGUGCAAGCGUUAUCCGGAUUUAUUGGGUUUAAAGGGUCCGCAGGCGGACUAAUAAGUCAGUGGUGAAAUCUCUCGGCUCAACCGAGAAACUGCCAUUGAUACUGUUAGUCUAGAGUGUAGUUGGCGUAGGCGGAAUGUAUCAUGUAGCGGUGAAAUGCUUAGAUAUGAUACAGAACACCGAUCGCGAAGGCAGCUUACGAAACUACAACUGACGCUCAGGGACGAAAGCGUGGGGAGCGAACAGGAUUAGAUACCCUGGUAGUCCACGCUGUAAACGAUGAUAUCGUUGUCGGCGAUAUACAGUCGGUGGCUAAGCGAAAGCGAUAAGUAAUCCACCUGGGGAGUACGAUCGCAAGGUUGAAACU